ACGGAAGGCAGCAGUGGGGAAUAUUGCACAAUGGGGGAAACCCUGAUGCAGCGACGCCGCGUGAGUGAAGAAGUAUUUCGGUAUGUAAAGCUCUAUCAGCAGGAAAGAAAAUGACGGUACCUGACUAAGAAGCCCCGGCUAACUACGUGCCAGCAGCCGCGGUAAUACGUAGGGGGCAAGCGUUAUCCGGAUUUACUGGGUGUAAAGGGAGCGUAGACGGCUUUGCAAGUCUGAAGUGAAAGCCCGGGGCUCAACCCCGGAACUGCUUUGGAAACUGUAGAGCUAGAGUGCAGGAGAGGUAAGUGGGAUUCCUAGUGUAGCGGUGAAAUGCGUAGAUAUUAGGAGGAACACCAGUGGCGAAGGCGGCUUACUGGACUGUAACUGACGUUGAGGCUCGAAGGCGUGGGGAGCAAACAGGAUUAGAUACCCUGGUA
Molecule: ribosomal RNA, 434 nt
Filed under: uncultured Lachnospiraceae bacterium
Lineage: Bacteria; Bacillati; Bacillota; Clostridia; Lachnospirales; Lachnospiraceae
Description: partial 16S ribosomal RNA
Rfam family: Bacterial small subunit ribosomal RNA
Source: RNAcentral